ACGGCCCUCUCCUCCUCCUCCGCUUCGGCUCCCGCCCCGUCCUCCUCGUCUCCUCACCCUCCGCAGCCAAGGACUGCUUCACCGUCAAUGACAUCACCUUCGCCAACCGCCCCCCGCAACUCUCCAACAAGUACUUUGGCUACGACGGCACCACCCUCGGCGCCUCCUCCUACGGCCCCCACUGGCGCAACCUCCGCCGCAUCGUCACCCUCGAGAUCUUCUCCCCCGCCCGAGUUGCCGCCUUCUCUGCCUCCCGUGCUGCUGAGGUCCGCUUGCUCCUCCGCCACCUCUCCGGCAACGGAGAUAAAGCUGAGUUCCGGAAGGUGGAGAUGAAGUCGAGGUUCUCUGAGCUGACGUUUAAUGCGGCCAUGCAGAUGAUAGCCGGGAGGAGGUACUACGGGACAGAGGCGACGGAGGUGGCAGAGGAGGGGCGGCGGUUCCGUCGAGUUAUAGGGGAGAUAUUUUUGUUGAGCGGGUCAUCGACUUUGGAGGACUUCUUGCCAUGGGCGAGGUGGGCAGGGUGGAACAGUGCCGAGAAAAGGAUGGUGAGAUUAGCGAGGGAGAUGGACGAGUUGUUCCAAGAGAUGGUGGAGGAUCGAAGAAAGAAGAGCGGAAGAGAAGAGGGAAAAACUAUUAUCGAUGUUAUGUUGGCGAUGCAGGAGGCCGAGCCUGGUUACUACACCGACGAGAUCAUCAAAGGAAUAAUUCUGGUACGGUCAUGGUAGCUUCUUUGAUUCGAUCUACUUCUAUCACCAAGCAUUAUCAUAAACUCUAUUCAAACUAUUCCCUACAGUGGAAGUUUUUCCGAGUGAGAGACACAGGGGAAAAAGGUUUAAAUGAGUAGAAUAGAAUUCUUUCUUUGUUUAUUUUUCUUCCUCUCGACCGAUUCUGGCAAGAAAUUAAUGUGGGAAAGUGACAUUCAUUAAAACUCAAAAUAAGUUGGCGUGGUACUUCUCCAUCCUCCAUAAAAUACCAACCACUAAAUAAAUUAAUGUAUAAUCCAUGAAGGUGCGACGACUAACAUCAAAAUACAGUGACAGAAACAAAGUCCAAGCAAUUGAUACCUAACCAUGCUAGGAAAGAAAAACUGCAUGUGCUCCUUGGUCGAUAUACCCACGAGUAGCACAACUAGACUCCAUCUUCGAGUAAUUAAACUUGGUGAGGAGAUGUACCUCACAAACGCUCCUGGAUGAGUUUGGAACAAAGUUCAUGAGGUAUUACUUUAGAACAUAUAUAUCUCAUGCAUCGGAGACAAUUACGGUGAUUAGGAUGAUUGUUAUCUCCUAUUUGAAAUACAAUAAAAUAAGAUAGGAAGCUCACCCAUAUCCCUUGACCAUAUUGGAGGCCCUUAUUUUGAAUCCAGAACCAAGAUUAAUAUCCUAUAAUAAUAAAAAUUGUUGUCUGCAGGUUAGUGUGGGCUCUCUCUGGGAUCAAACACAACAUCUUCUUCAAAUUACUUUGCAGGAAAAAAACAAAAAACAGGACCUUGGUGGCCUUCAUCUAAUGAUUUUAUUUAUCUUGUUCUCGCACAUCUAACAAUGACUAUCAUUUUGUUUCAGAACCUAAUAACAGCUGGAACGGACUCUUCCGCUGGAACCAUGGAGUGGGCAUUGGCCUUGCUUCUCAAUCAUCCAGAGGCAUUAAAGAAGGCCAAAGCUGAGAUAGACAUGCAAGUGGGUCAUGCCCGCUUCGUCACUGACCAUGACCUUCGCAAUCUCCACUACCUCCAGAAUAUCAUCAAAGAAACCCUUCGCCUAUACCCAGCAGGCCCUCUCCUCGUGGCGCACGAGUCAUCCGAGCAGUGUGUCGUACAGGGAUAUAGUGUUCCACGCGGCACGAUCUUAUUGGUUAAUGCUUAUGCCAUACAAAGGGACCCACAGCUAUGGACGAAUCCCUCGGAAUUUAGGCCAGAGAGGUUUGAUGAAGUGGACGCAGAGGGAUACAAGAACAUCCCCUUCGGGUCUGGAAGGAGGAGGUGCCCGGGGGAGGGCUUGGCCAUGAGAACUAUGGGGUUAGCCUUGGGGUCUCUGAUUCAGUGUUUUGAGUGGAAGAGAACCGGGGAGGAGGAGGUGGACAUGACUGAAGGCUUGGGGCUCACUAUGCCCAAGGCUGAACCCUUGGAGGCCUUGUACAAGCCAUGUGGAAACAUGACCGACGUUCUUUCUCAAAUAUGACCAUGCUCAAAUUUAUCUCCCUAUAAUAACUAUUUUUAUGAUGUAUCCGUACUUUAAAUUUAUGUGAAAUAUAUGCAUAAGUUGCAAACCAGUGGAGCAUAGAUGGAUGAAAUCUAAUUGAGUGCAAUGGUUUUCUUUGGCUAAUUUAUUGUCUGUUUAGUGAGGUGAGAAUUAAUGCAUUAAUUUGAAAGAAGUUGUGCUACUUACUGGCCUUUCGAGCCAAACUUCUUUCAUAUUGCUGCAAUAUCUGCUUCAUUGAAGUAGCAUAGUCUGUUUUAGCAUAUAAGUUACUCCUCCUUAUUUCCAUUGCUUUUGUUGAUCUCUCUAGUGAUUUAGGAUUUUGUUUUUAUUUUACCUUUGAUGAAAGGAUAUAUUCAAUUCCUUUUUUUCCCCAUACUCAAUUCAUUGAUUGAAUCUGGCCAAUUGAACCGUCAUUGUUUUCUUUUGGAAACAAAAAGCUAAUGUAGAUCCUUAAUCCAUUCAAUUUAGCCCAUAAUUUGUUGUUGCUUGGAGGCCAAACUAACCUCAUUCAACUCAUGUUCACCUAUAAAUUGUAAACUUAAUCCAUCCCACAAAGACCCUUCAUUUAGGGCCACAAAUGAGUUGGGUUAACCCCUAACUUGACCUGGUGCCAUCUGGAUUUGACCUGGUCCAACCUAUUACUUAGACUUGUGGUUCAAAAAUAUGACUUGCUCGAAAAAGCGGGUCAAUCUAUGUCAUAUAUUUUCACACUUAAUUCGAUCCAUAUAAUAGUUGGGCCAAAAUUGUCCAAUUUAUCGGGACUAAGCAUGGUCUAGCUAAUCUGAUUGAAUCUAGAAACCCAUUACUUUAAAAACCCUAAACCAUGUAUAAUUAUCGAAUUCCAUGCAUAUGUUUGUAUGAUGGGGAUUAAGCUUUUUCAUCUAUGUCGAAGAUCCAAUAAUAGUUAAAUAAUGGUAACAAUAUUAAUAGCAGAAAUUUAUAUUAAUUUUGGUUUUCUAAUUCUUUCUACUUGUUUUCCAUGUCAUAAUUUCUUCACCUUUUAAAUGUAUAAUGGAUAGUACAAUUUUAAAAAGUUAAUUCAUUAACCUUGAUCCUAUAUUUGAUUUAAUAUAGAAACUAAUACAUUAUGUUGGUUCUACGUACGCACCCACCUUAGCCUGAAUUAUCAAAUUGAUUUAAAAUAAUUUUUCAUAUACUUGACCCAACUUGAUCCAGUCAGUCAAAUGGUUUAGUUUGGAUCUUGAAAUAAAUCAUCCAAGGAAGCAUCUCCUGGUGUGGCAAUAAGCCUACUCAGCUCAUUACUUCCAUGAACUGUUGGCUUUACAACCUUUUGGGAGCUAACAUCUUGAAUUCCUGAUCGAUAAUCGGCAAUUCAAAAUCCCAUGAGGACCAACCUUCCAGGUGCUCUUGCUAUGUAAAUUUCUUCCUCCCAAUUAAAGAUUGCUGUAGCAGCAAUCGCUCCCUUAAUUGGCGCUUCUUAGGACCCUUUCUUGGAUCAGCACUACUUGCAAGAGUUGACAACCUCUCUGAAAAGGCCCCCGCAUCAGAUAAAUUAUGUAGUUCCCCAUGAUUGGGAAGCUCAAGGUUCUCGAUCGAUGCAUAUAUAAUUGCUCUAAAGGGGCACUCCCAUUCAUCUUCAUUUUCGUCAAGUAGAUAUCAAUCAGGAAUGCCGAUUUCUCUACCAAGAACACGUUGUAAUUGAUAGCCCAAUAACAAUGGCGUCACUUAUAUAAUUGCUUCGCCCCACUCAACUUGUUUGAUGCAUAACUAUGCGAAUAUCACCACCAGCUGCAAUAAGAUGCACUCCCAACACUUCAUCUUAACUUUUAUUGUCCCACUUAAUUGUCUGCUCGCUUGUUAUUCUGCACAAGAUUCUUCUUUAAUGAAAGAGACGAGCUCUCUAUUUGGGCAGUCGGCUUCAAUAUGCUGAAAGCCUAAACACUUGAAACACUUGUGAGGGCUAGAGCCACCAGUGUUGGAAUGGCUGGGGUUGCUAAGGAUGUCCUUAUCCUUUAUCUGAGACAAUUAGGAGAUGCUGGCUUUUGGGGAUGGCGACGUCUUUGAUAUGGAACUUCUCCGGUUGCACGCUCCAUCUACAUAUCUCGAAAAGCAUGAAUUAUUUGUUCUUAGUUGCUGCUUUUCAACUUUUGUUGCUAAUCGUAUCACGUCGUUUAGUAUUCAAUAGGGUUGGAGUUGCAUGACUUGCUCAAUUUGAGGAUUCAAUCUUUUAAGAUAUCACACUAUAGUUUGCUCUUUGAGUUUUUUGAUGUCACAAAUUCUAAAAAGUUACUCAAAUUCUAUUGUGUAGCCUUCUAUAGUCAUGUCACACUGUUGAAGAUUGUAGAGCUUUAGAAUUUUUCUUGGUUGUAAUCUUCAUGGAGAAACUUACGUUUGAGUUCGCGAUGCAUCUUGUCCCAUGUUCGUAUCUUGCCACAUCCUUCUUGCUCACAUCAUCACUUCAAAUUCUUCAACCAAAUUGAUGCGUACUUCUAAAGCACGAUGGGACCAACUUGACACACCGAACAUUGGAAAUUUUAUUGAGCUCGAUAACUCAUUUGAUGGUGUGGAACCAACCAAGGAAGAUAUUAGGUUGCAGGCAUCCUUCAAAGUCGGGGAUGUUUAUUUUGAUAUCAAAGUUGGGUAUCUUCUUAGCUCGAUGAAGAUGCUUGCCAGUUGUAGAACGGAUUGAAAUUUUUUACUUUCUUAUUAGAACACUUGCUUUCAUUAUCAAAGAGUUCUCUACCAGAGUAGUAAUUGGAACCCUGAUGAUGUUAGUGUUUGUGUUAUGCUUGAUGUCAUCGAAAUCGCUGAUUUUCUUACUGAAGUUGUUGAAGCCGGCGACGAAAUUCAUCUAGCUCAAUAUCAUGUAAAUCUUGCUCACGUUCAACAUACCUUUCAAUGUUGCAUUGAUGAGCAGCUUUUUGAAACCAUGCACUGAUGCCAACUAAGGCCAGAGAGGUAUUGAAACUUGGACUAAAAUAUUGAAAAAGAAAGGGUAUGUCGGUGCAAUCGAUUAUGGUGAGGUAGAAACCCCACUAUAGAAAUAUGUGAUAGUAGUUGGAUGAGAAGCAGGGAUGAAUCACUCUCUUUCAUUGGGCGACCACUCCAAGCAUAUAGCUCUCUCACUCACAUCCACAAACUCUAGGAAUCCGUCAAAAAGAAGGAGAGAGAGAGAGAGAGAGAAUUGAGAGAAGGCAAGAAUAAUUUUCAUAAGAGAAUUCUCAUUAACCAGUAACUCAAGAAUCUUAAGAUGAUUACAAGAGGAGCUCUAGUAAGAGUAUAUAUAAGUUGUACAAGGGGACUCUUUCCUUUAACCUUCUAAUAUGGAAUUUUAGUUCUAUUCUAACUUGAAAAAUCCUAAGUACUAAUUUUUCUAAUAAUAUCAAAAGUUCUCGAAAAGAAAUCUUACAAAAAUCAAAAUUUUCUAAAAUUUAGUAACAUCAAACUCUUUUAGCUGAUACAAAAAAAUAAUUAAUUAUCAAAACUUAGAUAUGUCUUGAGACUUAUAUGUACGGGACCACAACCUAUAUAGCUGGGACUUGCGACCCAUGGGGAUGGGACUUGUGAUCUGUGUUGCAUCAUAUAUGUAUGUCCUAGGCACUCCAUCAUCAAAUAUGAAGAGGAGAAAACAUGCAUUGAAUUAGAUUUGCAUGGAGGGAAUCGGUUGUAAAUCUCUUGAAACCUCCUAGCCUCCUCAGAGACUUCAACAUCCUCCCCAAAAUACCUCUUUUCGGUGAUCAUCCUCAACACCUUCCAAAACUAGUCCUUGUCAUUAGAGUCCAUAACAAGCCAUCUAAUCAAGACCAUGACCUCCUCUCUCCAUAAACCAGAGAACAAGUGGAGUCAAGCUGUUGGGAGGAUUUUAAUGGUUCCGCCAGUUGUUGCCAUAGAAAGCCCAUACGAUGGUAGUGUAUUUGUAGCCAAGGUGUUUCACGGCGAGGAGGCAGCAUGGUCGGUGAAGAUGACAUUGUUCUUGGAGUGGCAUUCCUCAGUAGCAUCGUGGUCUAGGAUUCGAAGCGUAGAGAGAUAAUUGGGCUAUAACUGACGAAGAGAGCAGGAAGGGAGAAGCGGAGGGGUUUCUUUGGGAGAUGGAGAUGGGCAAAUAUGGGGAGAGAGGGAGGACAAGGUGGUGAGUUCUUGCUUGGUGGAGUAGGGUGAAGAGGAUGAGGAGAAUUGCUAAGAAGAUGGCUGCGUAGUGGAUAAUAUCCAUGUUGGUUUGGUUUUUGGACCGUCAAGAUUUUUAUUGUCUAAAUAAUUUCUGCAAGAAGAUAAGAGUCAUUGGUUAGUCUGCUUCUUAGGAGGAACUAUAUCCUAUACGACGUGCUCAUUUCUAUAGUAAUGCAUUGAGAUGAGCGGUUGAUGAAUGGAGCUCAUAGAAACGAGUGGUUGUGAUUGGGGGCAUGAAUGACCACUUAGUGCACCCCAUAUGAGAUACAAUUCCUUCUUUAGUGGGCUGGAAUUUCUAGUUAUUAUGAUAAUAUAUAUAUAUAUAUAUAUAUAUAUAUAUUAUCAUAAUAAAAUAUAUGGCAUGACUUCUUUCCUUUUUGUCCAGAAAUAAAAGGGGUGCCAGUAAGAAAACCGGUCAGUCUUCUAUUUUCUCACAGAAUUUUUAUAUGGUUAACAUUUGAGCAAGUCUUCAAAAACUGUUUAUUUGGCAGUAUUUUUAUUAAAUUAUUUUUUCUUUCCAAAAAAAUAUUAAUUUGACAACAGCCUUUAGAGGAAAACUUUAUCUUGUUCAUUUUUUCUGCACCGCCCACAUGCAUUUGCUUUGGAAAACUAAACAUAUAUAGAACGUUGUUGGUGCAGAUGAUAUUAUUUGUUUUAAAAAAAUUAAGUCAAAUUAGCUUCAGGGCCGGCUUUAUGCUCUCGGUUCAUCUCUUUCUUGGAAACCAUCAAAACUGAUAAUAAGAUAUCUCGUGAGCUGCACUUUUUUUUCCCCUUUCUGCCGUUUUCUAAAUAUAAAUAUCCUGUUUGAAUUUAUCAGUUUUCUGAUAACUUGAAUAUUGGAUUUCAAAUUAAGAGGAAGUUUGUUUCUCAAAAAGAAAAUAAAGGAUCUAGAGGGAAUAUAUUUUUAAGCGUUUAGCAAGUGAAGAAAGCAAGACCCACAGUAGCUCAUCAAAAUAGAAAAAUAAAAUCAGUAAAAUUAAUUAAAUAAAGAUCGUACAGUAUGUGUAUGUGUAUGUGUGUGUGUAUAUAUAUAUAUGAAUAUUAGGAGAAUGUUAUACUUUCUUUCUGUAAUUUGGUUGAAACUGCAAAUUCAUAUCGAAUAUAUCAUUUAUAUAUUUUAAAGGACUAGUUCAAGUCUGGGCUACAAAGAGAGGAGCUACAUAAGGUUGGGCAUCAAAAUGAAGUAAGAAAGAAGGAGAGGAAAAGAGAUUAAAGUAAAGAAGAAAAUGUUAUAAAUAAUGAUCAAAUCGUUUGCUCCAAUUCUCUCCAGUUAUUUUGUUUGUUCUUAAUCUUUUUCUUUCUUGUAAAAACAUUAUUAAUCUUCUUGUUCUGAAGCUAUCAAUAAAAUUGCAAGCUCAAGGGAGUCAGAGUUGGCCAUCAACAAAUUGGUCCCAGUGAUUCUCAUGAAUUAAAAGAUUGUGACUGUUGGGGGCAUGUUUGAAGAGAGAUUAAGAAUUGCUUCCCCUGGUAAUCACCAACACACCUCAUCAUUGAGGUGGUUUGUGGAUCCUUCAUUGCAGGGCUAUUUAGAUAGAGAGCAUAUUUUGUUAUGUCACAUACCACUACAUGUUUCUCCGGGCCGAUCGUAAAAAUUUUCUAUACUACUACCACAAGACCACGAGAUAAUAAUAAUAAAAAAGGGUUGCAUGUGAGACAGCAAGCACUAAGUUGGAGACCUAAAUUUUCCAUGCGUAACUAAAGCUACCGACUCACUGUAGUUGAAGAUGAACUGAUAUUUUUCUGCGAAUCUUGUCGGUCCUUCUCUUGGAGUCUUAAACACUAACUUCGAUGGUGCAGUUUCUGCCCCCAAUAUUGAAUUGGUAGGAGUUUCGAUGGGAAUGUAUUUUGUUGUUACUUAUGGUGAUGCUGGAUAAAAGGUGAUUCCUCAAACAUCUGUUGAAGGACAUAUAUAAUCCAUCUACUAAAGGGUAUUAUGGCUUGGAUGAUGACAAGGCGGACUUUUAUGGCAACCCAUAUCUACCAUUGUUAUUUUAUUAUCAUCGGGAACCUCUGUUUCCGAAUUUUUUAAGGUUAACUUCGAUCGUAGUGUGACUGGUGGAGCAUUGUGGACUAAGUUGUCUUUUAUUUGGUGGAGCAAAUUAUCAAAUAUUUCGAUUGCUCUAUGUAAUAUUAUAUAUAUGAUCUGCCUAUCUUAUAAAAAAAAUAGUCAGACGAUAAAUUGGUUGGGAGGCCGUGCAAUAAUUGGAGAUUUUCUAUCUAGUUUUUGUUUUAUUUUUUCUUUUGUCUGGAUCCACAGCUCUGAUGGCUGUGUGAUGCAGGUGCAUGAACAUCAGACAACUUGCAUGCCAUUUUCAGAGUAUUAAAUGGCCGAAUUUAGAAAAGUUAUUAACAUAAAGGUUUCAGGUCUCUUUCUCUUCUUUCCAACAAGCCUAAGAACAUUAAAAUCCGAGUUAUGGUUGGAAAGUUAUAGGUAUUUGAAAAGGCAGGUGUCUNNNNNNNNNNNNNNNNNNNNNNNNNNNNNNNNNNNNNNNNNNNNNNNNNNNNNNNNNNNNNNNNNNNNNNNNNNNNNNNNNNNNNNNNNNNNNNNNNNNNNNNNNNNNNNNNNNNNNNNNNNNNNNNNNNNNNNNNNNNNNNNNNNNNNNNNNNNNNNNNNNNNNNNNNNNNNNNNNNNNNNNNNNNNNNNNNNNNNNNNNNNNNNNNNNNNNNNNNNNNNNNNNNNNNNNNNNNNNNNNNNNNNNNNNNNNNNNNNNNNACUGUGGAUAAAAAAAUAAACGGGAUCCUAAUGGCCAGUUUUAAUGGGCCAAGGGCGGCGCCUCAAAGUCUGAGGUUUUUUUAUUUUUUUUAAUCACCGAGAUGGUAGCACGAUGGAAACAAAACUUUGAUUUUACUAGAAUGACCCAAGUUCGAAAUGUUGGGCAUCGAUUAAUUAUGGAGACCGGAUGCCCCUUGUCUGAUUUAUUUUGUGAAAUCGCAAUCUGGUCUGCUGAUAUUUAGGUGGUGCAGGGGUGAACUCACACGUGGGGUAACUCAUGGGUAGAAGAGGGUAUGAAUAAAAUUUGUCUACCCGCAUCGAAUAUGGGUGGCAGUGUGGAGUUGCUAGUAGGGAGUAGGGAGAGGCCUUUCUUUUUCCCCUCUUCCCUUUCGUUUGUCAAAAAAAAAUAAAAAAAAGUCCAGUUUUUUUUUAAAAAAGGACCGAGUGUUAGGUCAACACAAAAAAAUAUAUAUCGCCAUCGCUUACAUCACAUCGGCUUGAAGUCCGCCUUACACGCAAACCAAGGGAUAAGGAGGACGCGGAGGCAGUCCAGUGGCGGAGAUCAAAGAAAAUGGAAACGGCCACCUUCUACUACUGUGCGGUGCUCUUCUUGGCCCUCCUCUUUACUUCCAAAAGCUUCUUCCAAUCCAAGAACGCCCGUCUCCGAUGUCCACCCACCGGUCCCCUCGCCCUCCCCGUCGUCGGCCACCUCCACCUCCUCCGCCAGCCCAUCCACCGCACCCUCUCCGCCAUCUCCGCCCGCCACGGCCCUCUCCUCCUCCUCCGCUUCGGCUCCCGCCCCGUCCUCCUCGUCUCCUCCCCCUGCGCCGCCGAGGACUGCUUCACCGUCAAUGACAUCACCUUCGCCAACCGCCCCCAGCUCCUCUCCAACAAGUACUUCGGCUACGACUGCACCACCCUCGGCGCCUCCUCCUACGGCCCCCACUGGCGCAACCUCCGCCGGAUCGCCACCCUCGAGAUCUUCUCCCCCGCCCGAGUUGCC
Molecule: long non-coding RNA, 10039 nt
Filed under: Phoenix dactylifera (date palm)
Lineage: Eukaryota; Viridiplantae; Streptophyta; Magnoliopsida; Arecales; Arecaceae
Description: long non-coding RNA (PDAC_LNC001174)
Source: RNAcentral